Homo sapiens (human) is the source of this 1659-nucleotide long non-coding RNA. Ensembl annotates it as long intergenic non-protein coding RNA 1277. Lineage: Eukaryota; Metazoa; Chordata; Mammalia; Primates; Hominidae. The record is from Ensembl.
AGAGUGCCUGGUGUCCAAGGAAGCAUGUAUAGGGGGUACAUAUGGUGGCAGUUGUAUGCUCAGCAGAAGAAGCACCAGGGAGGUGAAGGUCACGUUGACAGCAUGAACCUUCGAUGUGAUGUGAGGAAAAUGGCAUUCUACCUCUGUGUUCUUCCUCCCCAAAAUUUGUAACCACCAUCUAAUCAUGAGGAAAACAUCAUACAAGUCCAAAUUGAGGAAGAUUCUACAAAAUGCCUGAUUAAUAUUCAUCGAAACUGUCAAGGUCAUCAAAAGCAAGGAAAGUCUGAGAAACUGCCACAGCCUAAAGACAAUCCAGGGAAACGUGAUGACUCAGUGGUAUUCGGGGUGGGUUUCUGGAACAGCAAAAGGACAACAGUGUUAACAUCUGGGCCAAACAUCUGGGCAGCAACAUCAGAAAGCCCCUCUGCUGUGCUUCAGGAUCACUCUUAUCACUGCAUAAAGAAGAGCCUUUCGCCUCCUGCCAUGAUUCUGAGGCCUCCCCAGCCAUGUGGAACUGUACCCUGAGCCACUAUCUAAAUUGUCUGCUUACCUUAUGAAGACACCAUAAGGAGGUAUAACGUGUGGUGAGCACAGGUGAAGAGCUAGAGGCCUGAAACUAGAUGGGGAGGGAGAAGCCAGCCAUGCCUGCAUCCAGGGCUGCACUCAGCCUCCCAGCAUCUGUGCAGAGGCAUCAGUCAAGCCACAGCUAACUGCAGUCCCAGCUAACAUUAUGUGGAACAUCCCAGUCAUCCCAGAUCAUCCCAGUCAACCAAGAUCAUAAAAUUGUUUUCAGCUAUUAAGUUUAAAUAUGUGAAAUAAGGAGAUAAAAAUACUGACUUGGACUCUGUCUGAAUGAAAGGAUUAGUAGAUUAGAUUAGUGAUUCUUAAAAGACUUUCUUGGAUGCAUAUAAGUGUCCACAAAAUAAGAGUAUGAUGGUUUCCAGGUACAAAUAAGAUGGAAAACUAUUUUGUGAAUCAGAAUUAAAUUGGUUUAUUUACUGUAGAACUUCUAAGAGGCUUUAACAUGUACAUUUAAUUAUCAUAAGCCUUAUGAAAACUCCAGGAGGACAGAAGAGUUGCCUGUGACUUUUUUUAAAGUGUUUAUUCACAUCCCAAGGAAGGAUUCCCAGAAGAGAUGAUGCCUAAGCAGUGUCCCAACCAUGAAAUAAAGUCUCCUAGCUACUGGACAAGAUCAUCUCGAAGCUUAUUUCCAGCUCCAAAUGUUAUUAUUUUCCUCAAACCCAUUAUAAAAUGGCCUCUCUUAGCACUAUGAGAUCUGUAAUACAAGAAGUAGAACAAACACAUGAAGUUCCUGUUGGAAAUUCAAACUUCUCAUACAGCCUUCACUGAGUUCUACUCAUUAUGGAUAAAGGCUUCUGCUUUGAGUCACCUAAGUACUUUUGACCCCCAACUUAAUCAAUGCCUUGAAGUGAAAAUACAGUGUCAGGCAGUCCCUAUUCAUGACACAAACAAACCAACCAACUCAUAUCAUGACUUAAUGGUGUGAGACCUCAGUAAAAACUUUAUAUGAACUAAAUUUGUCUCAUUUGUAUCUUCUCAUACCUGUCACAGAAUUUCCUCUGUCCAAUGACACUGGUCCUUCGAUAGUCUUAGCUGUCUUUUCCUUCUUAAACUAACAAAAAUAAAAGUGAAAGAAAC